RNAcentral lists this ribosomal RNA (390 nucleotides) under uncultured bacterium. RNAcentral's name for it is "bacterial SSU rRNA". It matches the Rfam family "Bacterial small subunit ribosomal RNA", at positions 28 to 420 of the family's 1533-position model. The record is from RNAcentral.
GACGAACGCUGGCGGCGUGCUUAACACAUGCAAGUCGAGCGGUAAGGCCCUUUCGGGGGUACACGAGCGGCGAACGGGUGAGUAACACGUGGGUGACCUGCCCUCAGCUCUGGGAUAAGCCUGGGAAACUGGGUCUAAUACUGGAUAUGACUCCACGGUGCAUGUCGUGGGGUGGAAAGCCUUGUGCGGCUGAGGAUGGGCCCGCGGCCUAUCAGCUUGUUGGGGGGUGAUGGCCUACCAAGGCGACGACGGGUAGCCGGCCUGAGAGGGCGACCGGCCACACUGGGACUGAGACACGGCCCAGACUCCUACGGGAGGCAGCAGUGGGGAAUCUUGCGCAAUGGGCGAAAGCCUGACGCAGCGACGCCGCGUGAGGGAUGACGGCCUCGG